This 487-nucleotide long non-coding RNA is filed under the name Bos taurus (domestic cattle). RNAcentral's name for it is "long non-coding RNA NONBTAT025452". Lineage: Eukaryota; Metazoa; Chordata; Mammalia; Artiodactyla; Bovidae. The record is from RNAcentral.
UUUUGUUAUUCAUUAUUCAAAAUGUUGUUGAAUGGUUUUAGGUAAAGUAUAUUAAUAAGUAUCAUGACAGUCUUAACACUUUCAUACUUUAAGACUUCCACUGAUGUGUCCAAGAAUUAGUGUCCUUUUUUAUAUAUAUCAGAAUCACAAAAAUUAUCCAGCCUUACUUUUGUACUCUGUAUUUCUGUGUGAUUCCUGUAUGGUGCUACAUGUCAUCCCCUGAAAAUUCAAAUAACUUAAGUAGACUAUUGAAAGAUAAAUUCAAAGGAAGGUAAAUUAAUUUCUUGUCUAGAAAGGUAAGGGCUCUCAGAGAGAAUUGAUUUUCAUAAAAUGGAUCAAAAAGACAAGAGUGUUAGGAUGAAUGCAGUUUGGGUUUUUUCUUUCUAGUCCAUUCCUCAGUUCUGCCCUUCUUCUGUACUGACAAGUAAUUUAGUGGGAAUGGAAAAGUGAUAGAACAAAAAUGCACUGAUGAGAAAAUGAUUAGCCU